GUGCUGUGCGGAAGGAGAGAAGGUCAACAUUCCUUUUGACAAGGAUGGAAGAGGCCCUUGGACCAGAUGACAUACAUACGGUUAAGGCAUUGCCACCUAUUUCACGACAUCUAACCACUAUUAAAA
Molecule: small nuclear RNA, 126 nt
Organism: Octodon degus (degu)
Lineage: Eukaryota; Metazoa; Chordata; Mammalia; Rodentia; Octodontidae
Source: Ensembl